RNAcentral lists this ribosomal RNA (2181 nucleotides) under Triticum aestivum (bread wheat). RNAcentral's name for it is "partial small subunit ribosomal RNA". Lineage: Eukaryota; Viridiplantae; Streptophyta; Magnoliopsida; Poales; Poaceae. The record is from RNAcentral.
AUGAAUGGAGCUGCUAAUGCUAAUGGUACUUCAAACAACACAAUGGUCUCCCCGGUGUUGCAAACUCCUCCAGCGGCCAGUACACAGGAAUCUGGUAAGAAGAGAGGGAGGCCCAGGCGUGUGCAAGAUACUACUGUUCCUACGGCUCCUCCAGUUCAUUUGGUUCCUACGGCUCCUCAUUUGGUUCCUUCAGCUCCUCCAGAAGGUAAUAAUAUUGUUCUCCAAACACCCCCUUCAGCCGUCACACAGGAAUCUGGUAAGAAGAAGAGGGGACGAUCCAGACGUGUGCCAGAUGUUUCUGUUGUACCAACUCCUUCAGUGCCUAUAAUAGACGGCAAACCUAUUUUUCAGACACCUCCUGCAUCUAGCGUACAUGAAUCUGUUACAAAGAAAAGGGGGCGGCCGAAGCUUGUGCAGGAUGGUUCAGAUACUAUAACUCCUCCAGUUCAUUCAAAAGAGAGUGAGCCCCUUAUGCAGACUCCGCCUGCAGUCACCUUAUUGGAGGGUGGUAAGAGGAAGAGAGGGCGGCCGAAGCGUGUGUCUGAUAGUUCAGUGACUCCUUCAAGUUAUUCUGAAGAUGUUGACAGUGGGGACACAUCAAAACAUGGACGGCCCAGGAAAAUUGACACAAGCCUGCCGCACCUGCCAUCUUUGUCUUCAGAUGAUCCCAGGGAAUAUGCAGAUAAUGUACUUUUUAUGUUUGAUGCACUGCGGCGACGGCUCAUGCUGCUGGAUGAGGCGAAGCAAGUAGCGAAGCAGCAGCAUAACUUGAAGGCUGGGAGUAUCAUGAUGAACGCUGAACUUCGCGUCAAUAAGAGUAAGAAGAUUGGAGAGGUUCCAGGUGUUGAGGUUGGUGACAUGUUCUACUUCAGAAUCGAGAUGUGCCUGGUAGGGUUAAAUAGUCAGAGCAUGGUAGGGAUAGAUUACAUAUCUGCUAAGUUUGGUAAGGAGGAGGACCCUGUGGCCAUUAGCGUCGUUGCAGCUGGUGUGUAUGAAAAUACCGAAGACGAUCCAGAUGUUCUGGUUUACACUGGACAUGGCAUGUCUGGUAAGGAUGACCAAAAGCUUGAGAGAGGUAAUCUUGCACUGGAGAGGAGUUUGUAUAGAGGUAAUCCCAUUAGAGUUGUUUGCACUGUGAGAGAUUUGACUUGUUCAACUGGUAAGAUAUACAUAUAUGAUGGCCUUUACAAGAUCAGAGAAGCCUGGGUGGAGAAAGGGAAAUCUGGGUUCAAUGUGUUUAAACACAAGUUGCUGAGAGAACCUGGACAACCUGAUGGCAUUGCAGUUUGGAAGAAGACUGAAAAAUGGAGGGAAAAUCCAUCCUCUAGAGAUCGUGUUAUAUUGAACGACAUAUCAUACGGUGUGGAAAGUAAACCUGUCUGCCUUGUAAAUGAGGUCGAUGACGAGAAAGGCCCUAGCCACUUCAUCUAUACAACUAAACUUAACUACGUGAAUUCCCUGAGCUCAAUGAGAAAGAUGCAAGGCUGCAAAUGCAUAAGCGUGUGCCUACCUGGUGAUAACGACUGUUCUUGUACGCAUCAAAAUGCUGGUGACAUUCCUUACAGUGCUUCAGGCACACUUGUUAGUCGGAUGCCUAUGUUAUAUGAGUGCAAUGAUUCAUGCACUUGUGUACAUGAUUGCCGGAACCGGGUUGUACAAAAAGGUAUCCAAAUCCACUUUGAAGUGUUUAAGACGGGAGAUCGAGGUUGGGGCCUCCGUAGUUGGGAUCCUAUCCGAGCAGGCACAUUUAUAUGUGAAUAUGCAGGUGAAAUUAUUGACAAGAAUGCUGUUGAUGCAGAAGACGAUUACAUCUUUGAGACCCCUCCCUCGGAGCAGAACGUAAGAUGGAACUAUGCACCAGAAUUACUGGGCGAAUCUAGUCCUUCCGACUUAAAAGAACCAUCUAAGCAGCUGCCAAUAGUUAUUAGUGCAAAACGGACUGGCAACAUAGCUCGCUUUAUGAACCACAGCUGCUCACCUAAUGUUUUCUCGCAACCAGUUCUAUAUGAUCAUGGUGAUGAGGGAUAUCCACACAUCGCAUUCUACAUUCCUCCAAUGACAGAGCUUACAUAUGAUUAUGGUCAGAGCCAAGGUAAUGUUCAGCUGGGAAAUAAUUCUGGGUGUCGGAGGUCUAAGAAUUGCUUAUGUUGGUCUCGCAAGUGCAGAGCUUCCUUUGGCUAA